This 442-nucleotide long non-coding RNA is filed under the name Vigna radiata. RNAcentral's name for it is "long non-coding RNA (VRAD_LNC006931)". The record is from RNAcentral. Lineage: Eukaryota; Viridiplantae; Streptophyta; Magnoliopsida; Fabales; Fabaceae.
UUAAUCUAAUUUAUUUUUAUUAAUUAUAUUUAUUUACAUAAGUUAUAUAUUCUUUAUAAUCCAUACAAAUUAUAAAUUACUUUUAAUCUAAAAACUUAGAUUUAAAUAUCAUAAAUUUCUUCAACACAAUUUUCUUCACUCACUUUCUAUAUAUAAAUAUAUAUGAUCAAACUUAUUUUUUUUCAUUCACAUUCAUAAAUCUAUUCAUACUCAUCUCUUUUAUCUACACUCAUAUUCUUCACUCACAUUUAUUUCCUUUAUCCACAUUUCAUUUUUUUAUCCACAUACGUAUCCUUCAUAUGCAUUUUUUUUUCUCUCAUCUCCUCCAUUCACAUUCUUCUCUUCAUCUCCAUCAUUUAUACUCAUCUUCUUCAUCCACAUUUAUUUUUUUCAUUCAUAUUCUUCUUUUUCAUCUAUACUCAUUUUCUUCAUCAUUAUAAAA